GCCAGGCAUGGUGGUGCACGCCUGUAAUCCCAGUGACUCAGGAGGCUGAGAUGAGAGGAUUGCAAGUUUGAGACCAGCCCCAACAAUUUAGCAAGACCAUAUCUCAA
RNAcentral lists this small RNA (107 nucleotides) under Marmota monax (woodchuck). Lineage: Eukaryota; Metazoa; Chordata; Mammalia; Rodentia; Sciuridae. The record is from RNAcentral.